This 179-nucleotide non-coding RNA is filed under the name Shimia sp. SK013. Its description in RNAcentral is "Ruegeria cis52 sRNA". It matches the Rfam family "Ruegeria cis52 sRNA". Rfam says of the family: Cis-encoded. Targets oligo/dipeptide ABC transporter. Lineage: Bacteria; Pseudomonadati; Pseudomonadota; Alphaproteobacteria; Rhodobacterales; Roseobacteraceae. The record is from Rfam by way of RNAcentral.
UGCGCAACGCGUGUUUGAGAACCACAUUGCCGAAGCUGACGCCUUUGAGGCGGGCGGUGCGGAUGUAUUGCGCGGUCAUGACCUCGGCCAUGGAGGCGCGGGUCAUGCGGGCGAUAUAGCCCAUACCGUAAAGUGCAAUGGUGAUCACCGGCAGCGUAAAGUUGCGUAGGUUUGCGUCA